This 184-nucleotide ribosomal RNA is filed under the name Centrophorus moluccensis (smallfin gulper shark). RNAcentral's name for it is "partial 12S ribosomal RNA". Lineage: Eukaryota; Metazoa; Chordata; Chondrichthyes; Squaliformes; Centrophoridae. The record is from RNAcentral.
CACCGCGGUUAUACGAGUAACCCUUAUUAAUAUUUUUCCGGCGUAAAGAGUGGUUUAAGAAAAAUCCUUUAAACAAUUAAAGUUAAGACCUCAUCAAGCUGUUAUACGCUCCCAUGAUUGGAAUGAUCGACGACGAAAGUGACUUUAUAACAUUAGAAAUCUUGAUCCCACGACAGUUGGGCCC